Molecule: unclassified non-coding RNA, 1464 nt
Filed under: Cotesia glomerata
Lineage: Eukaryota; Metazoa; Arthropoda; Insecta; Hymenoptera; Braconidae
Description: uncharacterized LOC123272721, transcript variant X7
Source: RNAcentral
AUAAAAUGACAAAAAUUCCAAGAAAUAACUUCUUAAAUUUAAUUUAAUACUCAACGAUAUUUAGCAAACAAUUCUUAUUGUUUCUCAAACAUUUUUUAGUUUAAAAUUAAUGUGUAAACAAAUAACAAAACCUUUUUAGAAGGGCAUCGAACCAAUCAAAGCCUAGACUUACCCCCAGAUUAUCAAAAAUUAAGAAGCUAGAAUAGGUAAUUGUAGUCUUUGCGUUGACAGUUCUACAUUCGACGACAAGUUCUUCAAGUAAUUACUUCCUGUCUUCUCACAAGCUAUUAAUUCAUCUAGUGCUUAAAUACUUCAUAAUUCAAGAUGCAGAGUCUUAAUUUAAUGUGUUUAUUAUUUGUAAUAAUCAACAUAAAUUUAAUUUUUGGGUUUCCUCCGUUUUCCAGUCACGGCCAUGAGUAUGAAGUAAAUUACUCCCAAGGAGGAAAACAUAUGAUAACAAUUAUAAAUGAAUUACAAGAUAUGAUAGAUUUUAAAAAUUCUGAGGGAAAAGACAUAAUAAUAGAUUACGUCGAUGAUUAUUGGAGGCCUUCAUUAAACUUUGGAAAUUUUUAUGAUCGGAAAACUUUACAAGACGUCGUUCCAAUAUCAAAACGCGACACUUAUCAGAUUACUGCAUCUCCCGAAUUUGUUUUUGAAGAACCCGAUUAUACUAACUACAAUAAUUACAUGAAGCAAUUAGAAAUUGAUACACAAAAAGAAAAAUAAAAAUUGAAUAAUUUAGUUACGAAUGAGGAAGAAAAGUCUCAAAAAUUCGAAAAAAAUCCGAUUAAACCGAUAAUAGACAAAAGUUGUGAUGAUGGAAGAAAAAACUUGGAAGUUGAUUGGGACGGCUCUAAGGGUGAUUAAGAGUGCAAUGCUGAUGUUGAAAUACCAGCAAACCAUCGUCCUUCGACUUUGUACUGUGAUCCAUCAGCUUCAGUUGUACAGCCAAAAACUCGUUGUUUGAAUGAAACAUUAGAAUACAGCGAGUUAAUUCCUGUUAUUGGUGACUACCGUCCAAUUGCCCCGCAAUUAGGAGAGUACAAAUUUAUUCCUAAACAACGAUGGCUCAAUAGUUUAGACAAUGACGCAGUAGUGUUACUAUAUCAUCCGUAUGCUGAGAGAUCUGCAAUUAAUAAGCUGAGAUUACUGAUAAUGAAAUACUACGAACGUUAUAUUUUCACUCCAUACAACUUGGAACAAAUAGUGCCGUUCGCUAUAGUGGUCAAAGGAUGUCGUUUAGUAAUGUCACACGUGGUACCAAAUGAAGUGGCGCACUUUUUACAGAACCAUGGACCUAAAAAAGUACCAUUGGGAAAGCCAAAUGACAAAAAACCGAAAUAUAAUUUGGGACUGAUUGAAGAAAACCGACCUCAUCAUCUCUUUGGACUCAUUUAUCAAUUAUCAUAAUAAGUUUACAUGAUUCUAUUAUAAUAAUAAUAACUACAAUUAUUAUUAUCAUUA